RNAcentral lists this ribosomal RNA (252 nucleotides) under uncultured bacterium. RNAcentral's name for it is "partial 16S ribosomal RNA". It matches the Rfam family "Bacterial small subunit ribosomal RNA", at positions 524 to 776 of the family's 1533-position model. The record is from RNAcentral.
AACGUAGGUGGCGAGCGUUAUCCGGAUUUACUGGGCGUAAAGCGUGUGCAGGCGGGGAGACAAGUGGGGUUUGAAAUUUCCCGGCUUAACCGGGAAGGGUUAUGCCAGACUGUCUUUCUGGAGUGCGAGAGAGGGGCGUGGAAUUCCGGUGGAGCGGUGAAAUGCAUUGAGAUCGGAAAGAACACCAACGGCGAAAGCACUCUGCUGGGCCGACACUGACACUGAGAGACGAAAGCUAGGGGAGCAAAUGGG